GGGUUGUGAGGUUAAGCGACUAAGCGUACACGGUGGAUGCCCUGGCAGUCAGAGGCGAUGAAGGACGUGCUAAUCUGCGAUAAGCGCCGGUAAGGUGAUAUGAACCGUUAUAACCGACGAUUUCCGAAUGGGGAAACCCAGUGUGACUCGUCACACUAUCAUUAACUGAAUCCAUAGGUUAAUGAGGCGAACCGGGGGAACUGAAACAUCUAAGUACCCCGAGGAAAAGAAAUCAACCGAGAUUCCCCCAGUAGCGGCGAGCGAACGGGGAGGAGCCCAGAGCCUGAAUCAGCAUGUGUGUUAGUGGAAGCGUCUGGAAAGGCGCGCGAUACAGGGUGACAGCCCCGUACACAAAAGCGCAUGUGCUGUGAGCUCGAUGAGUAGGGCGGGACACGUGGUAUCCUGUCUGAAUAUGGGGGGACCAUCCUCCAAGGCUAAAUACUCCUGACUGACCGAUAGUGAACCAGUACCGUGAGGGAAAGGCGAAAAGAACCCCGGCGAGGGGAGUGAAAAAGAACCUGAAACCGUGUACGUACAAGCAGUGGGAGCACCUUCGGGUGUGACUGCGUACCUUUUGUAUAAUGGGUCAGCGACUUAUAUUCUGUAGCAAGGUUAACCGAAUAGGGGAGCCGUAGGGAAACCGAGUCUUAACCGGGCGUUAAGUUGCAGGGUAUAGACCCGAAACCCGGUGAUCUAGCCAUGGGCAGGUUGAAGGUUGGGUAACACUAACUGGAGGACCGAACCGACUAAUGUUGAAAAAUUAGCGGAUGACCUGUGGCUGGGGGUGAAAGGCCAAUCAAACCGGGAGAUAGCUGGUUCUCCCCGAAAGCUAUUUAGGUAGCGCCUCGUGAAUUCAUCUCCGGGGGUAGAGCACUGUUUCGGCUAGGGGGCCAUCCCGGCUUACCAACCCGAUGCAAACUGCGAAUACCGGAGAAUGUUAUCACGGGAGACACACGGCGGGUGCUAACGUCCGUCGUGAAGAGGGAAACAACCCAGACCGCCAGCUAAGGUCCCAAAGUCAUGGUUAAGUGGGAAACGAU
This 1040-nucleotide ribosomal RNA is filed under the name Salmonella enterica. RNAcentral describes it as "partial 23S ribosomal RNA". It matches the Rfam family "Bacterial large subunit ribosomal RNA", at positions 1 to 1074 of the family's 2925-position model. The record is from RNAcentral. Lineage: Bacteria; Pseudomonadati; Pseudomonadota; Gammaproteobacteria; Enterobacterales; Enterobacteriaceae.